Molecule: ribosomal RNA, 638 nt
Filed under: uncultured Lachnospiraceae bacterium
Lineage: Bacteria; Bacillati; Bacillota; Clostridia; Lachnospirales; Lachnospiraceae
Description: bacterial SSU rRNA
Rfam family: Bacterial small subunit ribosomal RNA
Source: RNAcentral
UUAUUGAAACUUCGGUCGAUUUAAUUUAAUUCUAGUGGCGGACGGGUGAGUAACGCGUGGGUAACCUGCCUUAUACAGGGGGAUAACAGUCAGAAAUGGCUGCUAAUACCGCAUAAGCGCACAGAGCUGCAUGGCUCAGUGUGAAAAACUCCGGUGGUAUAAGAUGGACCCGCGUUGGAUUAGCUGGUUGGUGGGGUAACGGCCCACCAAGGCGACGAUCCAUAGCCGGCCUGAGAGGGUGAACGGCCACAUUGGGACUGAGACACGGCCCAGACUCCUACGGGAGGCAGCAGUGGGGAAUAUUGCACAAUGGGGGAAACCCUGAUGCAGCGACGCCGCGUGAAGGAAGAAGUAUCUCGGUAUGUAAACUUCUAUCAGCAGGGAAGAUAGUGACGGUACCUGACUAAGAAGCCCCGGCUAACUACGUGCCAGCAGCCGCGGUAAUACGUAGGGGGCAAGCGUUAUCCGGAUUUACUGGGUGUAAAGGGAGCGUAGACGGUGUGGCAAGUCUGAUGUGAAAGGCAUGGGCUCAACCUGUGGACUGCAUUGGAAACUGUCAUACUUGAGUGCCGGAGGGGUAAGCGGAAUUCCUAGUGUAGCGGUGAAAUGCGUAGAUAUUAGGAGGAACACCAGUGGCG